GCAGUCGACGGUAACGGAAGCAGCUUGCUGCUUCGCUGACGAGUGGCGGACGGGUGAGUAAUGUCUGGGAAACUGCCUGAUGGAGGGGGAUAACUACUGGAAACGGUAGCUAAUACCGCAUAACGUCGCAAGACCAAAGAGGGGGACCUUCGGGCCUCUUGCCAUCGGAUGUGCCCAGAUGGGAUUAGCUAGUAGGUGGGGCAACGGCUCACCUAGGCGACGAUCCCUAGCUGGUCUGAGAGGAUGACCAGCCACACUGGAACUGAGACACGGUCCAGACUCCUACGGGAGGCAGCAGUGGGGAAUAUUGCACAAUGGGCGCAAGCCUGAUGCAGCCAUGCCGCGUGUAUGAAGAAGGCCUUCGGGUUGUAAAGACNUUUUCAGCGGGGAGGAAGGGAGUAAAGUUAAUACCUUUGCUCAUUGACGUUACCCGCAGAAGAAGCACCGGCUAACUCCGUGCCAGCAGCCGCGGUAAUACGGAGGGUGCAAGCGUUAAUCGGAAUUACUGGGCGUAAAGCGCACGCAGGCGGUUUGUUAAGUCAGAUGUGAAAUCCCCGGGCUCAACCUGGGAACUGCAUCUGAUACUGGCAAGCUUGAGUCUCGUAGAGGGGGGUAGAAUUCCAGGUGUAGCGGUGAAAUGCGUAGAGAUCUGGAGGAAUACCGGUGGCGAAGGCGGCCCCCUGGACGAAGACUGACGCUC
Molecule: ribosomal RNA, 700 nt
Filed under: uncultured bacterium
Lineage: Bacteria
Description: bacterial SSU rRNA
Rfam family: Bacterial small subunit ribosomal RNA
Source: RNAcentral